CAAUUUCAUGGGAUUUUGGGUGAAAUUAAUGGGAUUUUGGGUCAAGAUAAUGGCAUUCUGGGUCAAAUUAAUGGGAUUUUGGGUCAAGAUAAUGGGAUUCUGGGAGAAAUUUAUUGAAUUUUGGGAGAAAUUAAUGGGAUUUUGGGUCAACUUCAUGGGAUUUUGGGUCAAGAGAAUGGGAUUUUUGAGUCAACUUAUUGGGAUUUUGAGUCAAGUAACAAGACUUUGGGUCAACUUAACGGGUUUUUGUGUCAACUUAGCGGGAUGUUGGGUCAGGAGAAUGGGAUUUCGAGUCAACUCUUGGGAUUUUGAGUCAACUUAUUGGGAUUUUGGGUCAACUCUUGGGAUUUUGAGUCAAGUUUUGGGAUUUUGAGUCAGCUUAACAGGAUUUUGGGUCAAGUUGGUGGGAUUUUGGGUCAAGUUAGCAGGAUUUGGGGUGGAAUUCUCAUCUUUUUGCUGCUCUGGCUGCACUAUAGAGCCAAGUAGAGCGUGAUGGGGCAGUGAUCGCUGCCCAUGGCCUUGUUGCGGAUCUUGGAAUCGCACAGGGCC
Molecule: long non-coding RNA, 549 nt
Filed under: Numida meleagris (helmeted guineafowl)
Lineage: Eukaryota; Metazoa; Chordata; Aves; Galliformes; Numididae
Description: lncRNA (ENSNMEG00000000741.1)
Source: RNAcentral